RNAcentral lists this ribosomal RNA (508 nucleotides) under uncultured bacterium. Its description in RNAcentral is "partial 16S ribosomal RNA". It matches the Rfam family "Bacterial small subunit ribosomal RNA", at positions 30 to 523 of the family's 1533-position model. The record is from RNAcentral.
AUUGAACGCUGGCGGCAUGCCUAACACAUGCAAGUCGAACGGCAGCACGUUAAGUACUUGUACUUAUGGGUGGCGAGUGGCGAACGGGUGAGUAAUGCGCAGGAAUAUACCUUGAAGAGGGGGAUAACUUGGGGAAACUCAAGCUAAUACCGCAUAUGCUCUGAGGAGCGAAGCUGGGGACCUUAUGGCCUGGCGCUUUGAGAAUAGCCUGCGUCCGAUUAGCUAGUUGGUGGGGUAAAGGCCUACCAAGGCGACGAUAGGUAGCUGGUCUGAGAGGAUGGACAGCCACACUGGGACUGAGACACGGCCCAGACUCCUACGGGAGGCAGCAGUGGGGAAUAUUGGACAAUGGGGGCAACCCUGAUCCAGCAAUGCCGCGUGUGUGAAGAAGACCUGAGGGUUGUAAAGCACUUUCAGUGGGGAGGAGGGUUAGUAUGUUAAGAGCUAACUAAUUGGACGUUACCCACAGAAGAAGCACCGGCUAACUCCGUGCCAGCCGCCGCCGUAA